Molecule: unclassified non-coding RNA, 223 nt
Filed under: plant metagenome
Description: partial contains small subunit ribosomal RNA, internal transcribed spacer 1, and 5.8S ribosomal RNA
Source: RNAcentral
UUUCCGUAGGUGAACCUGCGGAAGGAUCAUUAUCAUGUAAUUCAGUCCCCUUGGCUGUGUUGUAUAUAUACCCACUCUGUGUACCUUCUCCCGUUGCUUCCGCUGGGUGUGUAAUUCGCCCGGCGGAAGGGUAAAAAUAACCUCUGAGUAUUGAUGAAAUCUCUGUCUGAACCGAAUAGAAAGAAAAAUGUUAAAACUUUCAGCAACGGAUCUCUUGGUUCUC